RNAcentral lists this ribosomal RNA (1202 nucleotides) under Cofana yasumatsui. RNAcentral's name for it is "16S ribosomal RNA". The record is from RNAcentral. Lineage: Eukaryota; Metazoa; Arthropoda; Insecta; Hemiptera; Cicadellidae.
UGAGAAAUUUUUAUUUUUUAUUGUAGAUUUUUUUCUUAUUUUAUUUUUUUUAAGUAUAUUAUGAAUUAAUUUAUUUUAUUUUGUUAACUGAAUAGGUAAUUUUAAACAAUUUUUAAGUAUUUAUAGUACCUUUUGUCUCAUGGUUAAUUUAUUUAAAUAAGUAUUUUUAAUUCCCGAAUCUAAAAGAUUUAUUUUUAAAAUUUAUUAUUAUGUUUCAUAAUAAUUUAUAAUUUUUUAAUAGUAAUUAAAAGUUAGUCGUUUUUUGUAUAUCUGGUUAAUUAUUAAAUGAAUUUAAUUCAGGAUUUUUUUUGUUAAAUUUAAUUUUUUAGAUUAAAAUCUAAUAUAAUUUUGGAUAAGCUGAAUUUUUGUUUAAAAUUUUUUUACUUAAAUUCUUAUUUUAGUUCUAAUAUUGUGCAUAAAGUUUUUUAUAGAUUAUGGAUUUUAUUUUUGAUUUUUUUUUAUUUAUUUUUAUAGUAAUUUUUUAUAAAUAAUUUAUAUUUAUUUUUAUUAAUGAUUAAAUUAGUAUAAUUUUUAUUUAGUUUUUAUGAACUAGGCAAGGCUUAAUAUCCAACUGUUUAUCAAAAACAUUUUUUUCAGAAUUAAAUUGAAAAUAAUCUCUGCCCAAUGAUAAUUUAAAUGGCUGCAGUAUAUUGACUGUACAAAGGUAGCAUAAUAAUUAGUCAUUUAAUUGAUGACUAGAAUGAAUGGGAACAUGAGAUUUUAACUUUAUUUAAAUUAAGAUUAAAAUUUAAUUUUUAGGUAAAAAAGCUUAACUUUUUUAUCGGGACGAUAAGACCCUAUAGAACUUAAAAUAAAUUUCUAAUAAGUAUUUUUAGUUUUUUAUUAUAAAGAUUUUUUUUUUAUUGGGGUGAUAAAUAACUUUUUAUUACUUUAUUUUUUUUUAUCAUUAUAUAUAUGUUUUUUAUGAUCUUGAGUUUUAGAUUGUAAGUAAAAGUUACCUUAGGGAUAACAGCGUAAUUUUAAUGGUGAGUUCACAUUUAUAUUAAAGUUUGCGACCUCGAUGUUGAAUUAAGAUAAAAUUAGGGGGUAGAUUUUCUUUGUUGUAAGUCUGUUCGACUUUUAAUUUCUUACAUGAUUUGAGUUCAAACCGGUGUAAGCCAGGUUGGUUUCUAUCUGAUAUAGAUUUAUUUUCUUUAGUACGAAAGGACCAAGAUAAUCAAUUAAAAUUGAAAUUUUUAAAU